Molecule: non-coding RNA, 46 nt
Filed under: Trichobilharzia regenti
Lineage: Eukaryota; Metazoa; Platyhelminthes; Trematoda; Strigeidida; Schistosomatidae
Source: RNAcentral
AUCUGGCUAACGAGUCACAAAAUAGGACGAAAUGUGCAUCCUGGAU